AAGGUGUUAAUUAGGGAAUGUGUGAUCCUACCAUCAGACCAAUUUGGGGAAAAAAGGUGAAUAAUAUGGAGAUGAGCUGCCAGUAACAUAAUAUAUCAUAAUUAUAGUGCACAUUCCACUGGCAUUAAUGGCAGUGGGGUAGCAGGAUGGGAUGCUGGUUAAUUCACAUUAAUGUCAAGUCAGGCAGUUAAAAUUUUAAAAAGUAAAUGAGGAAGUCUAUUUGACUCUGAGCAGGCAAUUAACAUUCACUUUCUUUCCAAACUCCUCCAUUAACAGCCUUGAAAAAACCACUUGUGUUUGACAGGAGAAAAGACAUCUGAACUGUCCAAUAAUUUGCUUAUUUGUGGAAUUGCUGCUGAAAAACCAAGUGAAGAUGUGCUUUAUUCCCUCUAUAUGUGUAACAUGCUUUAAAGUGUGGGUCAUCUCUCACCUCGAGCACCUCAUCCACAGAAGUAUGAAAUGUUCCAGAAUAUAAAUGUGCAAAAUCACCACCACAGAAGAGGUGCUGAAUAUUCCUCCUGGCAGAUUCUACCAUGAAUGCAGAUGGU
This 548-nucleotide long non-coding RNA is filed under the name Chrysemys picta bellii (western painted turtle). RNAcentral's name for it is "lncRNA (ENSCPBG00000019813.1)". Lineage: Eukaryota; Metazoa; Chordata; Testudines; Emydidae. The record is from RNAcentral.